AUUGAACGCUGGCGGCAGGCCUAACACAUGCAAGUCGAACGAGUGGCGGACGGGUGAGUAAUGUCUGGGAAACUGCCUGAUGGAGGGGGAUAACUACUGGAAACGGUAGCUAAUACCGCAUACCAUCGGAUGUGCCCAGAUGGGAUUAGCUAGUAGGUGGGGUAAAGGCUCACCUAGGCGACGAUUCCGAGCUGGUCUGCGAGGAUGACCAGCCACACUGGAACUUAGACACGGUCCAGACUCCUACGGGAGGCAGCAGUGGGGAAUAUUGCACAAUUGGCGAAAGCCUGAUGCAGCCAUGCCGCGUGUGUGAAGAAGGCCUUCGGGUUGUAAAGUACUUUCAGUGAGGAGGCGUUACUCGCAGAAGAAGCACCGGCUAACUCCGUGCCAGCAGCCGCGGUAAUAC
RNAcentral lists this ribosomal RNA (406 nucleotides) under uncultured bacterium. Its description in RNAcentral is "partial 16S ribosomal RNA". It matches the Rfam family "Bacterial small subunit ribosomal RNA", at positions 30 to 526 of the family's 1533-position model. The record is from RNAcentral.